AGAGUUUGAUCAUGGCUCAGAUUGAACGCUGGCGGCAGGCCUAACACAUGCAAGUCGAGCGGUAGCACAGAGAGCUUGCUCUCGGGUGACGAGCGGCGGACGGGUGAGUAAUGUCUGGGAAACUGCCUGAUGGAGGGGGAUAACUACUGGAAACGGUAGCUAAUACCGCAUAACGUCGCAAGACCAAAGUGGGGGACCUUCGGGCCUCAUGCCAUCAGAUGUGCCCAGAUGGGAUUAGCUAGUAGGUGGGGUAACGGCUCACCUAGGCGACGAUCCCUAGCUGGUCUGAGAGGAUGACCAGCCACACUGGAACUGAGACACGGUCCAGACUCCUACGGGAGGCAGCAGUGGGGAAUAUUGCACAAUGGGCGCAAGCCUGAUGCAGCCAUGCCGCGUGUGUGAAGAAGGCCUUCGGGUUGUAAAGCACUUUCAGCGGGGAGGAAGGCGGUAAGGUUAAUAACCUCAUCGAUUGACGUUACCCGCAGAAGAAGCACCGGCUAACUCCGUGCCAGCAGCCGCGGUAAUACGGAGGGUGCAAGCGUUAAUCGGAAUUACUGGGCGUAAAGCGCACGCAGGCGGUCUGUCAAGUCGGAUGUGAAAUCCCCGGGCUCAACCUGGGAACUGCAUUCGAAACUGGCAGGCUAGAGUCUUGUAGAGGGGGGUAGAAUUCCAGGUGUAGCGGUGAAAUGCGUAGAGAUCUGGAGGAAUACCGGUGGCGAAGGCGGCCCCCUGGACAAAGACUGACGCUCAGGUGCGAAAGCGUGGGGAGCAAACAGGAUUAGAUACCCUGGUAGUCCACGCCGUAAACGAUGUCGAUUUGGAGGUUGUGCCCUUGAGGCGUGGCUUCCGGAGCUAACGCGUUAAAUCGACCGCCUGGGGAGUACGGCCGCAAGGUUAAAACUCAAAUGAAUUGACGGGGGCCCGCACAAGCGGUGGAGCAUGUGGUUUAAUUCGAUGCAACGCGAAGAACCUUACCUGGUCUUGACAUCCACAGAACUUAGCAGAGAUGCUUUGGUGCCUUCGGGAACUGUGAGACAGGUGCUGCAUGGCUGUCGUCAGCUCGUGUUGUGAAAUGUUGGGUUAAGUCCCGCAACGAGCGCAACCCUUAUCCUUUGUUGCCAGCGGUCCGGCCGGGAACUCAAAGGAGACUGCCAGUGAUAAACUGGAGGAAGGUGGGGAUGACGUCAAGUCAUCAUGGCCCUUACGACCAGGGCUACACACGUGCUACAAUGGCAUAUACAAAGAGAAGCGACCUCGCGAGAGCAAGCGGACCUCAUAAAGUAUGUCGUAGUCCGGAUUGGAGUCUGCAACUCGACUCCAUGAAGUCGGAAUCGCUAGUAAUCGUAGAUCAGAAUGCUACGGUGAAUACGUUCCCGGGCCUUGUACACACCGCCCGUCACACCAUGGGAGUGGGUUGCAAAAGAAGUAGGUAGCUUAACCUUCGGGAGGGCGCUUACCACUUUGUGAUUCAUGACUGGGGUGAAGUCGUAACAAGGUAACCGUAGGGGAACCUGCGGUUGGAUCACCU
RNAcentral lists this ribosomal RNA (1528 nucleotides) under Klebsiella pneumoniae. RNAcentral's name for it is "bacterial SSU rRNA". It matches the Rfam family "Bacterial small subunit ribosomal RNA". Lineage: Bacteria; Pseudomonadati; Pseudomonadota; Gammaproteobacteria; Enterobacterales; Enterobacteriaceae. The record is from RNAcentral.